Passer domesticus (house sparrow) is the source of this 6400-nucleotide long non-coding RNA. RefSeq lists it as uncharacterized. NCBI's taxonomy places the organism in Eukaryota, Metazoa, Chordata, Aves, Passeriformes, Passeridae. The transcript has 3 exons. The record is from RefSeq and is a predicted model, not a curated record.
CAAGAUCAGGUUUCGCAGGGCCCCACCCAAUCUGGCCUCCAACACUUCCUACAGUGGGGAAUUGACAGCUUCUGUGAACAACCUACUCUAGUGCUUUACCACCCUUUGAGUAAAUAAUUUCUUCCUGUCCUCUUUUAGUCUAAAGCCAUUGCCCCUUGAGCUGUUAUUGGCUGCCUGUAUAGAAUCACAGAAUCAUGGAACCAUAGAAUGAUUUGGGUUGAAUGGAACCUUCAGAGAUCCAAUACCACUCUGCCAAUGGAAGGGUCUCUCUUAUCAGAUCUGCUAGCUCAAAGUCUUGUCUUUCUCUAUCUUUCUUAUUACUCCCUUUAUAUAUUGAAAGGUUUUCCCUGGAACUUUUUAUUCUCCAGGCUGAACAAUUUUUUUUUUUUUUCCUUCCCCACAGGAGAGGUGUUCCAUCAUCCCUCUAAUAAUUUUCAUAUCCUCUUCUGGCCCUGCUCCAAUAGAUCCAUGUCUUUCUUGUAUUGAGAACUCCAGAAGUGGGUGAAGUACUCAAGUGGGGUCUUAUGAGACCAGAGCUGAGAACCACCCCCUCAACCUGCUAGCCAUGCUGCUUUUGAUGCAGACAAAGACAUGGUUGGCUUUCUGGUCUGCAAGUGCACAUUGCUGGGUCACGUCCUACUUUUCAUCUACCAGUAUCUAUCCUCACAUCCUUCUUCACAGGCCUGCUCUCAAUCCCUUCAUUCUCCAGUCUGUGUUGAUAUUGAGGAAUGCCCACAUCAAGUUGUAGGACUUGGCCUUAUUGACCUUCAUGAGGUUCACAGAGGCCCACUGCUCAAGCCUGUCAGGGUACCUCUAGAUGGGAUCCCUGGCCUCCUGCAUUAACUGCAGCACUCAGCUUGGUGUCAUCUGCAGAACUGGUGCCGCAGCUGACGCCGGGAGAGAGAGGAGAAGCACUGUGUGUGGUUCUGAAGAAUUUUUUAUUGGGAUCUUCCACGAAGGUUCUCAGUGACAGCUCUUCUACUGAACUGGGCAGAAGUAGGGGUUUAUAUACCUUACAGGGGUUUUGGAAAUUGUCCAAUAGUAAGGGUCAAAGGAAAGUGACCUAUAGGCUUACAGAGAGAUAAGCACAAGUCCAAAGGUGGAAGAGAGGGGCUUCUAAGGUCCAGUCAUCACGCCUUGGCAUUUCCUAGCUCAGGCUUCUGACCUCCAAGGAGCCAUUGCAGGCACUGGGCAUGCAACAUGGAUUAGACACAUUAACCCUUCAGUGUGUGAGCAGAAUGCAAUUUCCACACAUACGCAGGAGACUUAUUUUUCUGAGUCAACCUAGGGGGAAAAAAAGAGAACUCUGCAUAAAAUCACUUUCUUUUCUUAUGAAUCUUGUUUUUUCCUAUCAGCAGCAUUCAACUGGUACUCAAAAUCCUCUUUUAACUGUUUUCUUGCAGGGACUUCUUAGCAGCAUUAUAUGAAGUGGGGCUUGUUUUUAAUAGGAUCCAUCAAAUAGGAUUUGGAUGUCAAAAAGAUUUUGGGAAAGUAAUGUUUAAUUUCUCCUGGUUAAUGUCCAGUUGAAGGUACUCUGGGAGCUAACUAUACUAUUUUAAACUUGCAAGAGUAGCUUUUGUUUUAACAAACUUGUAUUGCAAAAUUAUGUAGUGGUAGAGAUAAGUUACUGUUCUAUGUCUAAAUAAUAUUAAUUUGAAAAAUAUUUAUGAUCUGCAAAUUUCUUAGUUUUCAUAUCCAUUACUAUGAUGAACUAUGGAAACAUUGAACAUGGAAAAAAAUUAUUGAAUUAGCAUUUCCACUGAUGAAAAAUCAGAUGGGCUGCAUUGCAUGAUCAAGUAUUGCUGAAAAUCAGGAGACCUGUAGAGGAAAAUGCUGCUGACUACCAUACCCAGUAUACUUGGUAUAUUCAUUUGUAGCCAUUACUUUAUAGAAUCUUUUCCUCUCAUUCCUGGCAAAAUUUGUAUGGUUAGAAUAAAAUGGGGGUGGGGAGGAAUACAUCUAAAUUUAGGGUGAAUGGGCAAUGUACAUAGUAAAUACACUGUCUCUUUUUAAUCCACUUUAAUACUUACAGAACUUGAAUUGAGAAUAACAUUAGAAUAAAAUCUGGGCAGAAGUUUGACAGAUGUAUGCCAAAAGCCUCCUGUCUGACUUAGUCAGGAUAGACAGUGGUCUAAAACUGUUCAAUCUCUGAAAUUUUUCUUUGACCAUAAGAAAAGAGAAGAAAUCCUUCCCAGACCUACUAGCAAAAAAAGUGUCAGAUUGUUUGCUUGAAUGUGAUAACAUGAAAAAAAACCUGACUCUACUUUUAGAAGUUAUUUUAAAGGCAAUGAUAUUUAUUUGACCCUGCUGCUUUUCAAGUUUCACCUUUGAGUUUUUGUCUUGCACACUAAUCUCAAAGUAACUAAUAAUGGCAUUAAUAGAUUGAUGAGUAUCAAAUACUAUCCAAUUUUCAAAAACUGAACAAGAACUGAACAAGCCUCCAUGCAUAGUCAGCCAUAUAUUAUAAUGGUGAUAAAAUUAGGCCUUAAACAGCUAACAUAAAGAAUGGCAGGUAGCCUAAAGUAGAGCAAAUAAAAAGGUAAGAUGAUUGAGCCACAAAAAGUCUUAUAGGGAACAACUAUGUUUACUAUGAAAAAUGAAAUGAAGGAAAAAAUAUUUUAAAAACAUCUCCUACUAAGAAGAAAGAACAUUAGGAGACAGGAUGGAAGGAAAUGGCAUAAAGCUGUGUCAGGGGAAAUUCAGUUUGGGUAUUAGUAAAGAGCUUGUCACUGUGAGAGUGGCCAAACACUAGCACAGGCUGCCCAGGAAGGUGGUCAUGGCCCCAAGCUGUCAGUGCUCAGCAAGUGUUGGAUAGCGCUCUGACAUGCUGUUCAGCUUUUAGGCUGCUUUGUGUGGAUUUGGGAGCUGGACUUGAUGAUCAUUGUGGGUUCCUUCCAAAUCAAGAUACCCAAUGAUUCUGUGGGUUUGGAUUUGCUAGACAGGUAUUUCGAGUGACAUGAGUAUAAUCAAAAUAAAGGUGCUAUUUAAUGUAUAGGAAUUAAGAGAAAAAAGCACACAAGUCAGAUGUUUAACACCAUGAUGGAUAUUAAUGUUGCAACUACUUUGCUCUAUUGAGUCUGUUUUCUUCUUUCUUCCUAGCAUCCCUUAAAAACCACAAACAGCCAAAUAUACACGAUAUAACCUGCACUUCAAGUUAUAGAGGAAUAUAGCAAUAACCCAUCUGCACAUUAACCUAACUACAUGCAUUCUGGCCCUCUGUCCCAAUUCACAGUACCUCUACAGAUUUUACAUUUAGCAGUUCUUAAGGCAGAAGAUCAUGUGAGAAGAUCAGAUCUUGUGAAGAGAUUUGGUUUCUUUUCUAUUUAAGAAAUUCACCACUACUCAGACUUUUUAUCGGUUCUUUAUCAUUAAUCCAGUUCCCUUUAAACCAACAGAAAGACUCCCUAUUUAUACUGAAAGAAAAUAGAUUCAUAAUCAACAUGAUGUAAAUAUUUUGGGAGGAUCAACAGAGAUAAAACCAGUUAGACAAUCAGUGCUCCAGAGAGUUUGUCUUUAUAUAAUUUUUUUAAAAGGCUGGCAGUAUGGGCAGGUAAAAAGACAAGACUCUUUCAAGGCUGAAUAUAGUAAUGCAACAUGGUUACAGUUUAGAGGACAUUACAGACUUCUUCACAAACACUGGGUCUAAGUUUGCUGUUUUAAACUGAAACUUUGUAAAAAACUGAUCUGCUGCAUUCACAGACUAUACACAUACCACAGCACAAAAUGUCCUCACAACAGAAAAAAAUUCAUGAAGGCCAUCAAGUUAAAACAUAUUUUAUUUUCUGUCAUAAUGCAACCUUACACCAAAAUGUAAUUACUUUCUCAUCACCAAUAAACAAAACAUUUCAAGUGAACAGUUUACAAGGGGUAGCAGUGCAGCAGGCACGCGCGCCGAAGGGAGGACAAGCGCAGGGAUGCCGCAUUGGCUGCGGCCAGCCGCAGUUUGCUGGUGGGGCUGGAAGCGCCGUCCCAGGCCCGGCAGCCUCCAAGGGCGCAGACCGGGCCGCUCACGUUUCCCGCCCGGAGCCAGGGCCGUGCCCGCGGCCCGUUCCCGCCUGCCCCGGCCCCGGCCCUGGCCCCGCGCUCCUCCUGAGCCCACACGCUUCCCCGGCCCGCACGGAGCCCAGCCCCGCUGCCCGCGCAGGGCCGGGCGGGCGGCGGCUCCGGCCGGGAGUGCCCGGGAGGGGAAGCGGGAAGGAGGGAGCGCUGUGGCCGAGACAGCCCCUCGCAGCGGGCCGAGGCAGAGACGAGUACGUGCUACUCCAGUGCUCCCUCGGCUCCCGCUCGCUGCAAACCUGAGCGACCGCAGUUACUGUAAUAUGGGAAAAUUUAACUGGUGUCGCUUUCCCCUGACCAACAAUUCAUGCAUUGAUAAAAUGACACCACAGUGGUUCAUGUCAGCAGACCAUUAAACCCAAGUUUGGGGAUUUGGCACCACAGAUGAAUAUUUAAUCGUAAGAGCUGUUCUGUGUUUUGCCUACAAAUGUAGCAAAUAAAACGUGUUCCCAAACAGAAGAAAAUAUAGAUAGCGCUUUGUUGGUCAAGAGUUGCCAGGAAAAGAACCCAACCACACCACAAGAACACACUGAUUUUUAUCUGCUGUGUACACCAUUCGCCAGAAUAGUUAUAGUUUGCUGAUUCAUUAAGUCCCUUGUCACCUUGCAUUUUAGGUGGUAGUUUGUUUUAUGUGCUCAAGGGAUAUAAAUCUCUACAAAAUCAGAAUGUGUAAAUUCUUAGUCAGAUGUACAUAUAUUACAUAAAAUACAGCAAGAGAGAAACAUACUCUUAAAUUUGAUUUCUUAAUACAGUAAAUUAAAAGGUAGUUGAUACAUGGAGGUGUUUUGUUUUUGUUUUUCCUCAUUGCGCUUCUUUCUCUUUUCCUCAUUUCUAGUGCUGUAUCUUUCUACUUUGCACCAUCUCUAGUGCUUAUUAUCUCAUGCAGCAUUACAAUUAAUUUGGUAAUCCAGAAAAAAAUUCUUGCAUAAUUCUGGUUUCAUUGUCUGUUAGUCCAUGAAAAUUUAUUAAAUUACUACCAGAGUCAAUGCAGAAUACAGAAGCAGGAGAACAUACCUGGAAGGAAGGUUGAUAUGGGAGAAGCAAGAUUUAAAACUGUAGGCUGUAGGUAAAAACCCCUCAGGCUGCCUUAUCUUCUUUAAAUAUGCCAGAAGGCUUGGAAUUCCUACAUACUAAUUUCUAUUGGUUCCCAAACUCCUUUCAUCUGUUUGCAGGUAGGGCAGCAGCUAUUUGUUUUGGCUGAGCUGACAUCACCUUUACCUCUAUUAGCAGAUUAUAGAUCAUAGAACCACAGAAUGGUGAUGGUUGGGCCUUUGAAGGAUGACCUUUAAUGCUCAUCUACUCCAAUACCCUGCAAGAAGCAGGGACUUCUUCAACUUGACCAGAGCCCUGCCCAAACCUGGCCUUGAAUGUUCCCAGGGGUGGGACACCUACCACCUUUCUGAGCAACCUAUUCCAGUGUCUCACCACCCUCAUCAUAAAAAAUGUCUUGCUUAUAGGUCCAUGUCUUUUCAGUGCUGAGGACCCCAGAGCUGAAUGCAGGACUCCAGGUGGGAUCUUGCCCCAAGCAAAGCAUCUCUGAAUCACCUCCGUUUACCUGCUGGCCACACCGCUUUUGAUGCAGCCCAGGAUGCAUCUGACUUUGAAAGCUAACUUAAUUUAGAUGUGCCACUGACAUGCUUCAGUAAAUUUUGAAUUAUUUCUUGAACUUUGAGUAAUGUGAAAUACGAAGUAUUUUUCAUAAUUCAGUGCUUGAAAACUAAACAGUUUUUGAAAAUGAUGUAAUGCUCUAACAUCCCACGGUACUUGGAAACAUUGGAAAAGCAUUCACUUGGAAAGCAUUCUCAGAUACGGCAACUAAGCUCAUUAAGGUGUAUAAAUGCUUCAGAAAAGAAAAUGCUACAUGUGGAGUUAAAUCAGGGGAGGGAUAAAGGUAAUGCCUGAUACACAGACUGAGAGUAGGAGAUCUCAGUUCAGAAAUAUAUUCUUUGCUUCUUGUAUCCUGGCUAGAUUUUACUCUGGAUGCCUUCUGCACUGUAUUAAUACCUUUUCUUUACAUUUGUUCCUACAGAAACACUGUCAUAGAGUUCAGCAGAGAUAGGCCCAAGACCACUGCAAAACCCAGGGAAAUGCACAACCCACCUUCUGUCUCAUAAAUUACCUCUACAUUAAAAAAAAUAAUUAUAACUCAUAUGACUCAUCUAAAAUGUUCUUUGUGGGCAAAACCCUAAUAUAUUUAGAAACCGAGGUUUUAUUCUUCCACAUUUCUGUCCUAAGGAAGAUCAAACUCAGAUCUAUGUACCUGAUGUGUGUUCUCCCUGUAUAUGAGAGUGAUUUAAUUCACAUAAUAUGCACCUGCUAUAAAUACUUGUUUUCAAGGAAAAGU